RNAcentral lists this ribosomal RNA (316 nucleotides) under uncultured bacterium. Its description in RNAcentral is "bacterial SSU rRNA". It matches the Rfam family "Bacterial small subunit ribosomal RNA", at positions 43 to 357 of the family's 1533-position model. The record is from RNAcentral.
UCAGGCCUAACACAUGCAAGUCGAACGAUGAAGCCGGAGCUUGCUCCGGUGGAUUAGUGGCGAACGGGUGAGUAACACGUGAGCAAUCUGCCCUUGACUCUGGGAUAACUGCGGGAAACUGUAGCUAAUACCGGAUACGAGGCCUGGAGGCAUCUCCGGGUCUGGAAAGAAUUUCGGUCAAGGAUGAGCUCGCGGCCUAUCAGCUAGUCGGUGAGGUAAUGGCUCACCAAGGCGACGACGGGUAGCCGGCCUGAGGGGGUGGCCGGCCACACUGGGACUGAGACACGGCCCAGACUCCUACGGGAGGCAGCAGUGG